GGACCUUAGCUCAGUGGUAAAACAUUUGAUUGCUAUGCAGAAGGUCCCAGAUUCAACCCCCACUGGCAUGUCCA
Non-coding RNA from Podarcis lilfordi (Lilford's wall lizard), 74 nucleotides. NCBI's taxonomy places the organism in Eukaryota, Metazoa, Chordata, Lepidosauria, Squamata, Lacertidae. The record is from the annotation of a GenBank genome assembly.